Molecule: small RNA, 125 nt
Filed under: Salmonella enterica subsp. enterica
Lineage: Bacteria; Pseudomonadati; Pseudomonadota; Gammaproteobacteria; Enterobacterales; Enterobacteriaceae
Description: RtT sRNA
Rfam family: RtT RNA
About the family: This family represents a bacterial cis-regulatory element known as RtT RNA. The exact function of RtT is unknown although it is thought that it may be involved in changing the cellular response in relation to amino acid starvation.
Source: RNAcentral
UUUGCACUUGUCGGGGAAGGGGUGAGAACCUUCGAUUGGUUCGGCCGAUGAAAGGAGAGAACGCUGCUAACGGCAACGGCCCGUAGGGUGAGGAGCGAAGCGACGAAUAAUCCUUCCCACCACCA